Molecule: ribosomal RNA, 497 nt
Filed under: uncultured bacterium
Lineage: Bacteria
Description: partial 16S ribosomal RNA
Rfam family: Bacterial small subunit ribosomal RNA
Source: RNAcentral
GAUGAACGCUGGCGGCGUGCCUAAUACAUGCAAGUCGAGCGAACAGACGAGGAGCUUGCUCCUCUGACGUUAGCGGCGGACGGGUGAGUAACACGUGGAUAACCUACCUAUAAGACUGGGAUAACUUCGGGAAACCGGAGCUAAUACCGGAGAAUAUAUUGAACCGCAUGGUGCAAUAGUGAAAGACGGUUGUGCUGUCACUUAUAGAUGGAUCCGCGCCGCAUUAGCUAGUUGGGAGGGUAACGGCUUACCAAGGGAACGAUGCGUAGCCGACCUGAGGGGGGGAUCGCCCACCCUGGAACUGAGACACGGUCCAGACUCCUACGGGAGGCAGCAGUCGGGAAUCUUCCGCAAUGGGCGAAAGCCUGACGGAGCAACGCCGCGUGAGUGAUGAAGGUCUUCCGAUCGUAAAACUCUGUUAUUAGGGAAGAACAACUGUGUAAUUAACUAUGCACGUCUUGACGGUACCUAAUCAGAAAGCCACGGCUAACUACGUG